This 1520-nucleotide ribosomal RNA is filed under the name Klebsiella pneumoniae. Its description in RNAcentral is "bacterial SSU rRNA". It matches the Rfam family "Bacterial small subunit ribosomal RNA". Lineage: Bacteria; Pseudomonadati; Pseudomonadota; Gammaproteobacteria; Enterobacterales; Enterobacteriaceae. RNAcentral also lists the same sequence under 4 other names. The record is from RNAcentral.
AGAGUUUGAUCAUGGCUCAGAUUGAACGCUGGCGGCAGGCCUAACACAUGCAAGUCGAGCGGUAGCACAGAGAGCUUGCUCUCGGGUGACGAGCGGCGGACGGGUGAGUAAUGUCUGGGAAACUGCCUGAUGGAGGGGGAUAACUACUGGAAACGGUAGCUAAUACCGCAUAACGUCGCAAGACCAAAGUGGGGGACCUUCGGGCCUCAUGCCAUCAGAUGUGCCCAGAUGGGAUUAGCUAGUAGGUGGGGUAACGGCUCACCUAGGCGACGAUCCCUAGCUGGUCUGAGAGGAUGACCAGCCACACUGGAACUGAGACACGGUCCAGACUCCUACGGGAGGCAGCAGUGGGGAAUAUUGCACAAUGGGCGCAAGCCUGAUGCAGCCAUGCCGCGUGUGUGAAGAAGGCCUUCGGGUUGUAAAGCACUUUCAGCGGGGAGGAAGGCGAUAAGGUUAAUAACCUUGUCGAUUGACGUUACCCGCAGAAGAAGCACCGGCUAACUCCGUGCCAGCAGCCGCGGUAAUACGGAGGGUGCAAGCGUUAAUCGGAAUUACUGGGCGUAAAGCGCACGCAGGCGGUCUGUCAAGUCGGAUGUGAAAUCCCCGGGCUCAACCUGGGAACUGCAUUCGAAACUGGCAGGCUAGAGUCUUGUAGAGGGGGGUAGAAUUCCAGGUGUAGCGGUGAAAUGCGUAGAGAUCUGGAGGAAUACCGGUGGCGAAGGCGGCCCCCUGGACAAAGACUGACGCUCAGGUGCGAAAGCGUGGGGAGCAAACAGGAUUAGAUACCCUGGUAGUCCACGCCGUAAACGAUGUCGAUUUGGAGGUUGUGCCCUUGAGGCGUGGCUUCCGGAGCUAACGCGUUAAAUCGACCGCCUGGGGAGUACGGCCGCAAGGUUAAAACUCAAAUGAAUUGACGGGGGCCCGCACAAGCGGUGGAGCAUGUGGUUUAAUUCGAUGCAACGCGAAGAACCUUACCUGGUCUUGACAUCCACAGAACUUAGCAGAGAUGCUUUGGUGCCUUCGGGAACUGUGAGACAGGUGCUGCAUGGCUGUCGUCAGCUCGUGUUGUGAAAUGUUGGGUUAAGUCCCGCAACGAGCGCAACCCUUAUCCUUUGUUGCCAGCGGUCCGGCCGGGAACUCAAAGGAGACUGCCAGUGAUAAACUGGAGGAAGGUGGGGAUGACGUCAAGUCAUCAUGGCCCUUACGACCAGGGCUACACACGUGCUACAAUGGCAUAUACAAAGAGAAGCGACCUCGCGAGAGCAAGCGGACCUCAUAAAGUAUGUCGUAGUCCGGAUUGGAGUCUGCAACUCGACUCCAUGAAGUCGGAAUCGCUAGUAAUCGUAGAUCAGAAUGCUACGGUGAAUACGUUCCCGGGCCUUGUACACACCGCCCGUCACACCAUGGGAGUGGGUUGCAAAAGAAGUAGGUAGCUUAACCUUCGGGAGGGCGCUUACCACUUUGUGAUUCAUGACUGGGGUGAAGUCGUAACAAGGUAACCGUAGGGGAACCUGCGGUUG